UACAGAGGGUGCAAGCGUUGUUCGGAAUUAUUGGGCGUAAAGGGCGCGUAGGCGGUGCUGUAAGUCUGUAGUGAAAUCUCUGGGCUCAACUCAGAGUCUGCUAUAGAAACUGCAGUGCUAGAGUGUGGGAGAGGUGAGUGGAAUUCCCGGUGUAGCGGUGAAAUGCGUAGAGAUGCGGAGGAACACCGAUGGCGAAGGCAGCCCCCUGGGCUGACACUGACGCUCAGGCACGAAAGCGUGGGGAGCAAACAGG
This 253-nucleotide ribosomal RNA is filed under the name uncultured bacterium. RNAcentral describes it as "partial 16S ribosomal RNA". It matches the Rfam family "Bacterial small subunit ribosomal RNA", at positions 524 to 776 of the family's 1533-position model. The record is from RNAcentral.